This 841-nucleotide unclassified non-coding RNA is filed under the name Hevea brasiliensis (rubber tree). Lineage: Eukaryota; Viridiplantae; Streptophyta; Magnoliopsida; Malpighiales; Euphorbiaceae. The record is from RNAcentral.
AGAAGGCAAUGUACGAUCACGAGUUGCAGGUGAGUCAGCUCGGGCAACUUGGCCAACUCGGUCAACUCGGGCAACUUGUCAUUCCUGGUCAAGAGUUUCCACAGGGGCAAUCCUCACAAGGAAAUGUGAGGAGAAGCCCUAAAAUCAGCAGGGAUGGAAGAGUAGUAGUGGACGAGGAUGGCAUGGCUCAGCCAGAGUCAACUCGCUUAGAAACUCAGCCGAGAAUGACUGAACCAAUUCGGCCGAUACCUCAGCAUAAAAUCACUGAGCUGAAUCGUCCUGUGCCUCAGGCUGCGCCUCAAGCAAAAGCAACCGAGCCUAUUCGUCCUUCACCGCAGCCUGUAGCAGCUGAACCGAUUAGACCUGCAGCCCAGCCAAAAGCAGCGGAGCCGAGUCGUCCGGUACCCCAGCCGAAAGUAUCCGAGCCGAGUCGACCAGCUGCCCAGCCUAUUAGUGUUGAGUCAUCACGUGCAAUUCGGUCGACGACCCAGACAAGUGUGACUGAGUCAGAGGUACCAAGUUUCUGGACCGCAUGUCCUUACUGUUACAUUCUCUAUGAGUAUCCAAAGGGUUAUGAAGACUGUGCAAUUAGGUGUCAGAAAUGUAAACGAGCGUUUCAUGCGGUAAUGAUACCAUCACCGCCGGUGACAGGUAAAGACACGUACUUUUGUUGUUGGGGUUAUUUCCCGUUGGGUUUUUCCGGUCAUGGUAAAGGUGGAGGUGGUUUUGGUACUAAUUGGUCACCGGUAUCGGCAAUGUUUACUACCCCUUUGCCUGGCGGUGGAAAAUCAAGACAGGGCAAUCCAUCAAAUAGAUCUGAGCCGAAAGUGAUUUACAAAGA